CCUACGGGAGGCAGCAGUAGGGAAUAUUGCACAAUGGGGGAAACCCUGAUGCAGCAACGCCGCGUGGGUGAUGAAGUUUUUCGGUUUGUAAACUCCUUUUGUCAGAGAAGAUAAUGACGGUACCUGACUAAGAAGCACCGGCUAACUCCGUGCCAGCAGCCGCGGUAAUACGUAGGGUGCAAGCGUUACCCGGAUUUACUGGGCGUAAAGAGCGCGUAGGCGGGAUAGCAAGUCAGAUGUGAAAGCCUAGGGCUGAACAACAGGACUGCCUUUGAAACUGUUAGACUAGAGUACGGGAGAGGGAAGUGGAAUUCUUGGUGUAGGGGUAAAAUGCGUAGAGAUCAAGAGGAAAACUAAUGGCGAAGGCGGCCUACUAGAAAGUAACUGACGUUGAGGCGCGAAAGCGUGGGGAGCAAACAGGAUUAGAUACCCCGGUAGUC
RNAcentral lists this ribosomal RNA (440 nucleotides) under uncultured bacterium. RNAcentral's name for it is "partial 16S ribosomal RNA". It matches the Rfam family "Bacterial small subunit ribosomal RNA", at positions 338 to 795 of the family's 1533-position model. The record is from RNAcentral.